UACGUAGGGGGCAAGCGUUGUCCGGAUUUAUUGGGCGUAAAGGGCGCGUAGGCGGUUUCUUAAGUUUGAAGUGACAGUGGGUGGCUUAACUACCCAAGGCCUUUGAAAACUGGGGAACUUGAGGACCAGAGAGGGACAUAGAAUUCCGGGUGGAGUGGUGAAAUGCGUAGAUAUCCGGAGGAAUACCAAAGGCGAAGGCAGUGUCCUGGAGGGUUAACUGACGCUGAGGCGCGAAAGCGUGGGGAGCGAACAGG
Molecule: ribosomal RNA, 254 nt
Filed under: uncultured bacterium
Lineage: Bacteria
Description: partial 16S ribosomal RNA
Rfam family: Bacterial small subunit ribosomal RNA
Source: RNAcentral